This 645-nucleotide long non-coding RNA is filed under the name Homo sapiens (human). RNAcentral describes it as "non-protein coding lnc-PGR-5:1". The record is from RNAcentral. Lineage: Eukaryota; Metazoa; Chordata; Mammalia; Primates; Hominidae.
CUUUUUUUGAAACUGAAUUCUGCUCCACCACAGUCUUACCCUGGUGUUUCUGCAGGAUCCACAUCAGACCCUGCUUCAGGUGUGGAUGUCUUAGUUAAUCAGGUGGCACUGUUGAUCCCCCAUCAAUGGACUUCUGAGAUCACCACCAUUAUUUCCUCAAUUUGUUUGACUCUUUCUCUACCAUGCAUUCAUCUGUGAGAAGGUUAACGCGUGAUUCUCAUGACAACGUGAUUGGCAGCCACAAAGUCUAAGAGACUCCUCAGACAACCUCUAACAAACAGCCAUUAACAAACUGAACACACCUAAAAUGUCACUGAUUUGUCUUGGAAGACAGAAUACUAAGCAAGAUAAAUGGCACUAUACAUAUAGAUAAUUUGUGUAUGUAAGACUAUUAGUUCAUUAGAUAACUAAUCUCACUACUUUAUUUAAAAGAAAAUGUAAGUAGGAAUCCAUUUCUAAAUCUUUUCAAAUUACAGGUUGGGCACAAUAAACAACCAAGUAUAAGGAGCUCAGAAGAUUUCCAUCUAAAUAGUUUCAAUAAUCCUCCAAGACAAUAUCAGAAAAUAAUGAAAAGGCUCAUUAAAAGAUAUGUACUGCAGGCCCAGAUAGAUAAGGAGAGUGAUGAAGUGAACGAAGGUGAGUUGA